Vespula pensylvanica (western yellowjacket) is the source of this 2815-nucleotide long non-coding RNA. RefSeq lists it as uncharacterized. NCBI's taxonomy places the organism in Eukaryota, Metazoa, Arthropoda, Insecta, Hymenoptera, Vespidae. The transcript has 2 exons. The record is from RefSeq and is a predicted model, not a curated record.
GAGAGAGUGAAUGAGAGUGAAAAGAAGAAGAAAACAUUUAAUGAGAUACAAAACGCAGAAAGCAGAAGACGAAUUCGUGGUAGAAAUCGAUCGUUCUUUCCCGUGAGAGUCUCCCUCGGGAUUCGCGAGGAUCCACGCGUAUAAACUUCGCACGGACGACGACAGGCACGGACGCAACACCGAAUCCUCCAUGGAUUAUCCGGAUUUGCGCGACCGACCGUCCGGUGUGCGUCCACUAGGAUGACGCUGAGGACGUUGACGUUUCUACCAAGAGGACACGUGCAAACCGGUUAGGAAUGAUAACUACUUGCUUAUCCUAUAUAUAUGUGUGUGUGUAUGCAUAUCUUGAUAUCCAAGACGAACGUACAUAAAAGCAUCUUUGGUGGUAACAAACAUAGGAGUAUGUCUCGCGAGAUAUUAGAAGCGAUUUCAGAUAGUGAAUUUCGCUUUGAUCCGCACAUUAUAAUCCUUCCAGCUAAAAUCAAUAUCGGUACGUUGGUACGUAUUCAAACGUAAUAACGAUUAAAGUGAAUAAUACGUUGAGAUAGUAACCGGGUAUAAUAAGGAUUAGUAGAAUGGAAAAAUAUUUUCACCGAGGAUAUGCAAGAAAAACGAUACAGUCGAUACCAUUCGCCUAUCGGGAAACACCCUCUUCCGAUGAGAAGCACUUUCGAAGGUCGCGUACACGUAUAUAGAUAUCUACAUACAUACAUAUAUAAAUAUAUAAAUAUAUAUAUAUAUAUAUAUAUACAGCUGUGUGUGUAUAUAAGUGUAUAGAUGUAUGUGUGUACGUAUGUGUAUAUAUAUAAGUACAAUCCAUAGCGCGAGUAUAAGUACAUAUAGGCUCAACUGAAAAGCUCUCGCGCUCUUUUCUCGACGCCAUCUUAAAUCCCCCUGGUGGAAAACUAGCUCUUCAGGCAAGUGCACGAACUCCUACUUUCCGAACCCCCAAAAUCCGCCAACGCAUUUUCUCGAGAAUCGCAUACGAAACUUCCUUCGACUUAUCUUCGAAACGAAAAGUAACAGAGAAGAGAGAGAGAGAGAGAGAGAGAGAGAGAGAGAGAGAGAGAGAGAGAGAGAGAGAGAGAGAGAGACAUAAAUAAAAAUAGAAGCAGAAAAAGGAAGAAGAAGAAAAAGAAAAAGAAAUAAAAAAAAGAAAGCAAAUAUCGAUAGAAAGGAAAGAUCGAGAAAGGAAAAUGUAUAAAUCCUUUUUUCCUGAUCCCUCGAGAAAGUCGAGACAAGAAUACGUGGCUCGUCUCGAAUGCGAAAAAACGCGUUCGUUCGCGCGUUCAUCUCUUCCAAUAAAAGAGAACAAUCAUUUUAUCGCGCACGAGAGAACAUCGUGGAUGAAAAAGAAGGAUGACUCGGGUAGAAACGUUGAAAUCAAUUGAAAGAAGAUAGGAGUUAGUAAUUAAUCGUUCGUGGAUGAUCGUACGCUCGAUUUCACGUUGGUGUCUCGAAAAAGAUGAACGAAAAACGAUUUCAUGGUAAGAGAGAAAUAAACGUAGGAGAGACAGAAAGAGAGAGAGAGAGAGAAAGAGAGAGAGAGAGAAAGAGAGAGAGAGAGAGAGAGAGAGAGAGAGAGAGAGAGAGAGAAUAUCGUACGGUAGUCGGUUUAAUUAAUUACCAAGCUCACUCAUUCUCUCCACUUUGACCGACUCUCACCGAAAUCUCAUCGGUGCAUCGUCGAUCGGUAAAGUGAAAAUAACCGAAACGAUCGUGUCGGUAGUCUACCCCUCUACCCCGGUGUUUGUGUUACGUCGAUUAAUUAAUAUUUCGAUUCGGAGCAAGCGAUAACGUGGAAGAGGGAAUGGACAGCGAAAGGGACUAGGCGGCCAUCAAGGGCGUACAUCAAAGGACCACCCGCUGAAUGCGAUUCAGCGGUCCGACACUGAAAACCAAGAGCUGGAUAUCGAUCGAUCGAAACCAGAGUAGAUCCCUCUUUUUCCUAUCGUCCAUUCGGGUAAAUGUAUGUUCUGCGUAGGUAUAUGGCUUUUAAAAGCUCUCGCGAAAGCUCGACUUUAUAUUAAGAGAUAUCGGACUAAAGUUAAUGCGACUGCUAAAGAGAUUGUGACCGUAUUACGAGAUAUAAUCGAAUCGAUCGAUAGUUACUUAAAAUGUUAAGUAUUGAGGAAUAAUAUUCUGAUAAAUUGUAUAAUUAUAAUUAAUAUUUCAUUCGUUUUUAAUCCUUUCUAAUACUAAUUUCACGCAUUAAGUAACUUUUACUUACAUUUACUUACAAACAUUAAUUACAUAUUUUAUUUUAUCAUCACAAAGUUAAGUAUUACUUCAUAUUCGACGAUUAAUGUUUGCUAAAUGUACAUUAUAGUUAUAUGAUAUAUAAGUUAUAAUAUAAUAUGUAAUAAACGUGCUCGUGUUAUAAUCAUUAUCACGUUCAUUUCAAGUUUAAUAUUAUACAGUUUUUCUUUCGAUAAGAGAAAAUAUUGAAUUACGACGAUUUAAUAUUAUAUUAUAUAUCCUGUAAUAUGAAUGAUUGAUAUUGUUUAGUUUAUAUUGAAUGUUUUAGUUGAUACAAGUUAUACUUAUUUUUAAUAUAAUAUAGUUAUACAAUAUCAUUUCAAUUUCAUGUUAUAUAAUUUUUGUUCUAUUUUGUUUAAACGUGAUGAAAAAUUGGGUUAAAGCUCAAAGAAGAAGCUUUAAAAAUAAAAAAGCGAUGUUUACUGUUUUACUUAUAACAUUACGUGCAUGUCAUUAACGCUUAGAUGCACCAACAAGAGUAACGAUAUUUGACUGCUUCAUUAACACUUCCAACACUUCGUGUUGCCGUUCAAAAAUAUAAUAUAAUCUAAACGAA